RNAcentral lists this long non-coding RNA (585 nucleotides) under Crocodylus porosus (Australian saltwater crocodile). Its description in RNAcentral is "lncRNA (ENSCPRG00005004965.1)". The record is from RNAcentral. Lineage: Eukaryota; Metazoa; Chordata; Crocodylia; Crocodylidae.
GGGCUCCUGCUAUCAAGACUCGUGUAGGAGCAGAAGACUUUUGAGUGAGACGGAUGGGAGAUGGCAGAUACCUGAAGAUGUCACAGCAGACUAAGGUUGACUCCAGCCAAGUUUUGAAGCCUGGCAAAUCUGUGGGACCCCACAAGCUCUAGCUGCAAGACAGCCCAAGUUACAUCAGGCAGUGAGAUCUGUGGCCUUUAUUAAUAAAAAGGCAAGAGAUUUCCUAGCUUGCUGUAAACUACAUAACAUCACCAUGAGAUGGAUUUCAUUCUUUUCAAAGUGAAACACUUGACAACCUCUUCCUUCAUGAGGUUCCUGUGUAACCCGACCUUGUUGUGGCUGCCAGUAUGCUAGAGAUCAGCCUGAAUCUGUAGAUGUUUCCUCCAUUGAAAGGAAUCUACAAUAUCUCAUCUUCACUCUGUCCUGAGGAAGCUGUCUGCCCUUCUCACUUCUCACAGGGUUUUGUAUCCUUCUCUGCAUCGAAAGGUAAUGGCUGUUCCUUUUGUACUUGAACUGAGCUAUAAAAAUAGCUUUGUGCGUGGACAUAAUGCUAGGUCUUACUAAUCAGAUUUCAUUAGGAGUUGC